This 118-nucleotide ribosomal RNA is filed under the name Pteropus alecto (black flying fox). The record is from RNAcentral. Lineage: Eukaryota; Metazoa; Chordata; Mammalia; Chiroptera; Pteropodidae.
GUCUAUGGCCAUGCUACCUGAACAAGCCCGAUCCCAUCUGAUCUCGGAAGCUAAGCAGGGUCGGACCUGGUUAGUACUUGGAUGGGAGACCACCUAGGAAGACCAGGUGCUGUAGGCA